Molecule: long non-coding RNA, 221 nt
Filed under: Nicotiana benthamiana
Lineage: Eukaryota; Viridiplantae; Streptophyta; Magnoliopsida; Solanales; Solanaceae
Description: long non-coding RNA (NBEN_LNC019246)
Source: RNAcentral
AACAACUAAUUAGAUAUAUUAACAAUACAUCUAAUUGGCAACUAUGAUAAUCUUGAAAAUUGCAGCUGACUAAUAAUAAUACACCAACAAGACACCUCUACUUUAAUAAUUCUAACAAAGCUGAUACAAAUGCCAAAACUGAUUUGUGGUGUACUUAUAACAGAAAAAUUCAACAAAAAUGCAAAAAAGGACUUUCAAAGUAGUAAAUUCAGUUUUUCAAC